GGCGAGGGUCAUUUGCUGUAGGAGCUCGGUCAGAGGCUUUCCGUAGAUGAAGUUUGAUUUCACACAGAAUUCGGUAGAGGGUCGACCGGCAGUGGAUGUCGGACGGCACUGGAGAGGUUCAUCCGCUGGAGCGGUCUGGCUGCUGGAGUCCAUGUGUCGUAGGAGUUCGUCCGAAAUCUGUCCGUUACAGAAGUUCGGUUGGAGUCCGAUCUCCGUAGAAGCCCAGAUGGGGAUCAUUUAUUGAGGAAGCUCGAUCGAAGUCUACAGUAGAAGCUCGGAGUAGAUCGCUUGCAGUAGAAGAUCGAAGUAGAUCGCUUGCAGUAGAAGCUCGAAGUCCGGCCCUUGUAGGAGUUCGGAUGAGGUUUAACUGCAACAGGAGUUCAGGGCGGAAGUUCGGCUCUCGUAGGAGCCCGGACGAAGGCUACCUGCAGCCAGAGUCCGGGGAAGAAGUUCGGCUCCCGUAGGAGCUCGGACGAUGUCUACCUGUUCGGGGAAGAAGUUCGGCUUCUGUAGGAGCCCGGAUGAAGUCUACCUGCAGUCGAAGUUCGGGGAAGAAGUCCGGCUCCCGUAGGAGCCCGGAUGAAGUCUACCUG
Molecule: long non-coding RNA, 593 nt
Filed under: Elaeis guineensis (African oil palm)
Lineage: Eukaryota; Viridiplantae; Streptophyta; Magnoliopsida; Arecales; Arecaceae
Description: long non-coding RNA (EGUI_LNC077856)
Source: RNAcentral